UUUCUGGUGUCUCUAUGGGUCUUUGUUCUUUAUAUGAGGUCCCAAUGAUGCCAUCCAGUCAUUUGCUUUCUUACAGGCAUGUUUUCCACCAGCCACCCACACUGAUUAGCUUGAGAGUGACUCAAGGCAGAACUGAUGGCCUUGUCAUAGAACAGCCUCUGAUCGAGUGCUUGCUGAACAGCUGGCUAGCUCUGAGCAUGAAGCAGAAUGCAGGACAGCUUAAAGAAGAGAGGAGGGAGAGGAGGGGGACUCCUGCUCGGGGCACCCCAUCUCCUGGAUGUGAGAUCACCUGUAUGGAGCUGGCCCAGUAGCAGUUUCAGGAUUCGGGAAUGGCUUCGGGGAAAGAGAACCCUUAAGUUUUUACUUUCAAUCCACUUGUCAGUUUCCCCUUUGUCAACUGCACCUCCAAACUGCAUGAUGUUCUUGGCAGAGAAAAUUCCCAGACCACAGAGGAGUGGUGUCUGUAGAAGAUAGAGCAAGAGGAAGCAGCUCAAAGACAAGGUUCCAGAAUGAGCUUGCACCAUGGGAUGCAGCCAGUGGACAGUGACGUGACCAGGAAACAUCUGUGGUGGCAAGCGGCAUGGCCAGCGAGUCAGAGGCGACUGUGCCGGAAUUGAAUGUGCAGGCACUCCUGUUAUAAAGGAAAAGAGGAAAGUGCAGGCAAAGGCUCUUAUUCUCAUGUGCUGAUUAUACCAAUUCAAAUAGAUGACAUCUGUGUGGGCAUUCAGAUGGGCAUUUUGAAUUCUAAUGAUUGUGUGAACAUGAAUCACCUAAUCA
This is a non-coding RNA of Macaca mulatta (Rhesus monkey), 777 nucleotides long. Lineage: Eukaryota; Metazoa; Chordata; Mammalia; Primates; Cercopithecidae. The record is from RefSeq and is a predicted model, not a curated record.